UGCAGUCGAGCGCUCACUUCGGUGGGAGCGGCGGACGGGUUAGUAACGCGUGGGAACGUACCCUUCUCUACGGAAUAGCCUCGGGAAACUGAGAGUAAUACCGUAUACGCCCUUUGGGGGAAAGAUUUAUCGGAGAAGGAUCGGCCCGCGUUAGAUUAGAUAGUUGGUGGGGUAAUGGCCUACCAAGUCUACGAUCUAUAGCUGGUUUUAGAGGAUGAUCAGCAACACUGGGACUGAGACACGGCCCAGACUCCUACGGGAGGCAGCAGUGGGGAAUCUUAGACAAUGGGCGCAAGCCUGAUCUAGCCAUGCCGCGUGUGUGAUGAAGGCCCUAGGGUCGUAAAGCACUUUCGCCAGGGAUGAUAAUGACAGUACCUGGUAAAGAAACCCCGGCUAACUCCGUGCCAGCAGCCGCGGUAAUACGGAGGGGGUUAGCGUUGUUCGGAAUUACUGGGCGUAAAGCGCGCGUAGGCGGAUCAGAAAGUAUGGGGUGAAAUCCCGGGGCUCAACCUCGGAACUGCCUCAUAAACUACUGGUCUAGAGUUCGAGAGAGGUGAGUGGAAUUCCGAGUGUAGAGGUGAAAUUCGUAGAUAUUCGGAGGAACACCAGUGGCGAAGGCGGCUCACUGGCUCGAUACUGACGCUGAGGUGCGAAAGUGUGGGGAGCAAACAGGAUUAGAUACCCUGGUAGUCCACACCGUAAACGAUGAAUGCCAGUCGUCGGCAAGCAUGCUUGUCGGUGACACACCUAACGGAUUAAGCAUCCCGCCUGGGGAGUACGGUCGCA
Molecule: ribosomal RNA, 786 nt
Filed under: Rhodobacteraceae bacterium ACEMC 11-7
Lineage: Bacteria; Pseudomonadati; Pseudomonadota; Alphaproteobacteria; Rhodobacterales; Paracoccaceae
Description: bacterial SSU rRNA
Rfam family: Bacterial small subunit ribosomal RNA
Source: RNAcentral